This 1411-nucleotide ribosomal RNA is filed under the name uncultured bacterium. RNAcentral describes it as "bacterial SSU rRNA". It matches the Rfam family "Bacterial small subunit ribosomal RNA". The record is from RNAcentral.
AGAGUUUGAUCCUGGCUCAGGAUGAACGCUGGCGGCGUGCUUAACACAUGCAAGUCGAACGAAGCAUAGGAGUGGAAUUUUUCGGAAGGAAACAACUAUGACUGAGUGGCGGACGGGUGAGUAACGCGUGGGUAACCUGCCUCAUACAGGGGGAUAACAGUUAGAAAUGACUGCUAAUACCGCAUAAGCGCACAAAACCGCAUGGUUUGGUGUGAAAAACUGAGGUGGUAUGAGAUGGACCCGCGUCUGAUUAGCUAGUUGGAGAGGUAACGGCUCACCAAGGCAACGAUCAGUAGCCGACCUGAGAGGAAGGUCCCCCACACUGGUACUGAGACACGGACCAGACUCCUACGGGAGGCAGCAGUGAGGAAUAUUGGUCAAUGGGCGGGAGCCUGAACCAGCCAAGCCGCGUGAAGGAAGAAGGCGCCAAGCGUCGUAAACUUCUUUUGUCGGGGAACAAAGGGCGCCACGUGUGGCGUUGUGAGUGUACCCGAAGAAAAAGCAUCGGCUAACUCCGUGCCAGCAGCCGCGGUAAUACGGAGGAUGCGAGCGUUAUCCGGAUUUAUUGGGUUUAAAGGGUGCGUAGGCGGUCCGGAAAGUCAGCGGUAAAAGCCCGGGGCUCAACCCCGGCGAGCCGUUGAAACUGUCGGACUAGAGACGGCGAGAAGUACGCGGAAUGCGCGGUGUAGCGGUGAAAUGCAUAGAUAUCGCGCAGAACUCCGAUUGCGAAGGCAGCGUACCGGCGCCGGACUGACGCUGAGGCACGAAAGCGUGGGUAUCGAACAGGAUUAGAUACCCUGGUAGUCCACGCAGUAAACGAUGAAUGCCGGCUGUCCGGCCCGGAAAAGGGCUGGGUGGCGAAGCGAAAGCGAUAAGCAUUCCACCUGGGGAGUACGCCGGCAACGGUGAAACUCAAAGGAAUUGACGGGGGCCCGCACAAGCGGAGGAACAUGUGGUUUAAUUCGAUGAUACGCGAGGAACCUUACCCGGGCUCAAACGGGAGACGACAGGGGCGGAGACGCCCUCUUCCACGGACGUCUUCCGAGGUGCUGCAUGGUUGUCGUCAGCUCGUGCCGUGAGGUGUCGGCUUAAGUGCCAUAACGAGCGCAACCCCUGCCGACAGUUGCUAACGGGUAGAGCCGAGGACUCUGUCGGGACUGCCGGCGCAAGCCGCGAGGAAAGCGGGGAUGACGUCAAAUCAGCACGGCCCUUACGUCCGGGGCGACACACGUGUUACAAUGGCAGGUACAGAGAGAAGCGACACGGCGACGUGAAGCGGAACUGUCAAAACCUGUCUCAGUUCGGAUCGGAGUCUGCAACCCGACUCCGUGAAGCUGGAUUCGCUAGUAAUCGCGCAUCAGCCAUGGCGCGGUGAAUACGUUCCCGGGCCUUGCACACACCGCCCGUCAAG